AUGCUAAUCAGGCCGCCAAGGAUGCGGCUAAGGUCGCUGAUGAGGCUGCUGAUCGUGCCUAUGAUGAGAGGGCUCUGGCUUAUGAGGAGGCUCUUCAGACGUAUCAUGGUGCUUUGUCUGUUUACACCCAGUGGCUUGAUGAUGAUGCUCGUGCUGCCGCUGUUCUCACUGCUAGUGUUCUGCCUCAGUUUGCUUCUGAGUUUCUGGGUCUUCCUACUGUCUUCCAGAUGUGGACCUGUCUUCAUCAGCGCUAUGAGCCCUCUGGUGAUGCCUUAUACCUGUCUGUGGUUCGUCAGGAGCAUGCUCUUCAGCAGGGUGACUCUACUGUUGAUGACUUUUAUGCACAGAGUUCUGCUAUCUGGCGCCAGCUUGAUUCUCUCCGCAGUGCUGGUUGUCGUACUUGUCCCUGCUGCCAGGCUGUCUAGGCCGAUUUGGAGUUUCAUCGCGUCUACGAGUUCCUGUCUCGGCUCCGUAAGGAGUUUGAGCCCCGGCGUGCUCAGUUGCUUGCUCGUGGCCGUAUUUCUCUCAUGGAGGCGCUUUCAGAGAUUCGUGCUGAGGAGACUCGCCUACGUGGUGCUGGUUUGCUAG
This 588-nucleotide ribosomal RNA is filed under the name Triticum aestivum (bread wheat). RNAcentral describes it as "partial small subunit ribosomal RNA". The record is from RNAcentral. Lineage: Eukaryota; Viridiplantae; Streptophyta; Magnoliopsida; Poales; Poaceae.